UACGUAGGUGGCGAGCGUUGUCCGGAUUUACUGGGUGUAAAGGGCGUGUAGCCGGGUUGGCAAGUCAGAUGUGAAAUGCAUAGGCUUAACCUAUGAACUGCAUUUGAAACUGUUGAUCUUGAGUAUCGGAGAGGCAAUUGGAAUUCCUAGUGUAGCGGUGAAAUGCAUAGAUAUUAGGAGGAACACCAGUGGCGAAGGCGGAUUGCUGGACGACAACUGACGGUGAGGCGCGAAAGUGUGGGGAGCAAAC
RNAcentral lists this ribosomal RNA (250 nucleotides) under uncultured prokaryote. RNAcentral's name for it is "partial 16S ribosomal RNA". It matches the Rfam family "Bacterial small subunit ribosomal RNA", at positions 524 to 773 of the family's 1533-position model. The record is from RNAcentral.